UGGUGCGUAUCUUGAAUGUCAAAACGACUCUCGGCAACGGAUAUCUCGGCUCUCGCAUCGAUGAAGAACGUAGCGAAAUGCGAUACUUGGUGUGAAUUGCAGAAUCCCGUGAACCAUCGAGUCUUUGAACGCAAGUUGCGCCCGAAGCCUUCGGGCCGAGGGCACGCCUGCCUGGGCGU
Molecule: ribosomal RNA, 179 nt
Filed under: Ruellia acutangula
Lineage: Eukaryota; Viridiplantae; Streptophyta; Magnoliopsida; Lamiales; Acanthaceae
Also listed under: 2 other names
Description: 5.8S ribosomal RNA
Rfam family: 5.8S ribosomal RNA (bases 26-179)
About the family: 5.8S ribosomal RNA (5.8S rRNA) is a component of the large subunit of the eukaryotic ribosome. It is transcribed by RNA polymerase I as part of the 45S precursor that also contains 18S and 28S rRNA.
Source: RNAcentral